RNAcentral lists this ribosomal RNA (253 nucleotides) under uncultured bacterium. RNAcentral's name for it is "partial 16S ribosomal RNA". It matches the Rfam family "Bacterial small subunit ribosomal RNA", at positions 524 to 776 of the family's 1533-position model. The record is from RNAcentral.
UACAGAGGGGGCAAGCGUUGUUCGGAAUUACUGGGCGUAAAGGGCGCGUAGGCGGCCUGUUAAGUCGGACGUGAAAUCCCUCGGCUCAACCGGGGAACUGCGUCCGAUACUGGCGGGCUUGAAUCCGGGAGAGGGAUGUGGAAUUCCAGGUGUAGCGGUGAAAUGCGUAGAUAUCUGGAGGAACACCGGUGGCGAAGGCGGCAUCCUGGACCGACAUUGACGCUGAGGCGCGAAAGCCAGGGGAGCAAACGGG